This 429-nucleotide ribosomal RNA is filed under the name Bacteroidota bacterium. Its description in RNAcentral is "Bacteroidetes bacterium partial 16S ribosomal RNA". It matches the Rfam family "Bacterial small subunit ribosomal RNA", at positions 355 to 776 of the family's 1533-position model. Lineage: Bacteria; Pseudomonadati; Bacteroidota. The record is from RNAcentral.
UCGGGAAUCUUCGGCAAUGGGGGGAACCCUGACCGAGCAACGCCGCGUGAGUGAAGAAGGUUUUCGGAUCGUAAAGCUCUGUUGUUAAGGAAGAACGAGUGUGAGAAUGGAAAGUUCAUACUGUGACGGUACUUAACCAGAAAGGGACGGCUAACUACGUGCCAGCAGCCGCGGUAAUACGUAGGUCCCGAGCGUUGUCCGGAUUUAUUGGGCGUAAAGCGAGCGCAGGCGGUUAGAUAAGUCUGAAGUUAAAGGCAGUGGCUCAACCAUUGUAGGCUUUGGAAACUGUUUAACUUGAGUGCAGAAGGGGAGAGUGGAAUUCCAUGUGUAGCGGUGAAAUGCGUAGAUAUAUGGAGGAACACCGGUGGCGAAAGCGGCUCUCUGGUCUGUAACUGACGCUGAGGCUCGAAAGCGUGGGGAGCGAACAGG